UACGAAGGGGGCUAGCGUUGCUCGGAAUUACUGGGCGUAAAGGGAGCGUAGGCGGAUAGUUUGGUCAGAGGUGAAAGCCCAGGGCUCAACCUUGGAAUUGCCUUUGAUACUGGCUAUCUUGAGUGUGGGAGAGGUAUGUGGAACUCCGAGUGUAGAGGUGAAAUUCGUAGAUAUUCGGAAGAACACCAGUGGCGAAGGCGACAUACUGGCCCAUUACUGACGCUGAGGCUCGAAAGCGUGGGGAGCAAACAGG
Molecule: ribosomal RNA, 253 nt
Filed under: uncultured bacterium
Lineage: Bacteria
Description: partial 16S ribosomal RNA
Rfam family: Bacterial small subunit ribosomal RNA
Source: RNAcentral